AUCUCAUGAUUUGGGAAUUGCAUUAUCUUAUCAUUAAACCUUUUCCACACUUUAGACAAUGGUUCACCAUUUAGUUAGCAAAAGUUGGUGAUUUCAUCCCUUAGUU
Molecule: small nucleolar RNA, 106 nt
Filed under: Capsicum annuum
Lineage: Eukaryota; Viridiplantae; Streptophyta; Magnoliopsida; Solanales; Solanaceae
Description: Plant small nucleolar RNA R71
Rfam family: Plant small nucleolar RNA R71
About the family: R71 is a member of the C/D box family of snoRNAs containing the C (UGAUGA) and D (CUGA) box motifs.
Source: Rfam by way of RNAcentral